This 720-nucleotide long non-coding RNA is filed under the name Setaria viridis. RNAcentral's name for it is "long non-coding RNA (SVIR_LNC004962)". Lineage: Eukaryota; Viridiplantae; Streptophyta; Magnoliopsida; Poales; Poaceae. The record is from RNAcentral.
GUGGUCGAAUUUGGGAUCAAUUGGAGGAAGUUUAGCGCAUGAAAUGACGAAUUAAAGGAGUGUUAGGGGCUUAAAUCAAGGUUUCAGGACUAAACUGCGAGAACCAGGGACCUAUUUGUAAUUAUUUUUGAAAGGUGGAAGGGCGUAUCCGUGAAAAUUUUCUGAGAGAGGUGGGAGGGCCGGUUUGUAAAUAGAAGACACUAGGGGGUUAGAUCAAAAUGGAAGGGGAUUUCCCCCCUUCUUCUUCCUUGGGCCGAGUCAGAGAGAUGGGAAGAGAGGGAACCGGUAGGGGGGCCGGUCCGGCCGGACCUGGCCGGCGGCAGGCCGAGUGGGGGAGAGGUAGAGGAGAGUGAGGGGAUCCUAUUUUGACCCUUACCGUGGGUGGAUGGUGGUGGAGGAAGGAGCGCCGGGCGCGGCAAGGAGGCGGCGGCGGGGUUACUAGCGGCGGCUCGUGGAGCGAUAGGGGGAAAGGGGGCGGCGAGCUGGGGGCACGACGAGGUGGUGGCGUGGGGCGUCGGGCCUGGGCCCUUUUAUAGGAGGCGGGAGGAGCGGACGUGCGGCCGGAGGUGAUGAUGGCGGCCGGACUUCUGGCCGGUGGCGUGCCGGGGUGGACGUCCUCAUGGAUGGCGUGGUGGCUCGGUCGACGAGGAGCACAGGGAGUCCACCGAGGUGAUGGCCGGCGUGUCGUGCGGUGGGACGGCAGUGACCGGUGACUGGCGG